AACGAACGCUGGCGGCAGGCCUAACACAUGCAAGUCGAGCGAGGUAGCAAUACCUAGCGGCGGACGGGUGAGUAACGCGUGGGAACGUACCCUUUGGUUCGGAAUAGCCCCGGGAAACUGGGAGUAAUACCGGAUACGGUCGAGAGACGAAAGAUUUAUCGCCGAAGGAUCGGCCCGCGUUGGAUUAGGUAGUUGGUGGGGUAAUGGCCUACCAAGCCGACGAUCCAUAGCUGGUUUGAGAGGAUGAUCAGCCACACUGGGACUGAGACACGGCCCAGACUCCUACGGGAGGCAGCAGUGGGGAAUCUUGUGCAAUGGGCGCAAGCCUGACACAGCAACGCCGCGUGCGGGAAGAAGGCCUUCGGGUCGUAAACCGCUUUCAGCAGGAACGAAAAUAGACGGUACCUGCAGAAGAAAGGUGCGGCCGAACUACGUG
This 436-nucleotide ribosomal RNA is filed under the name uncultured bacterium. Its description in RNAcentral is "bacterial SSU rRNA". It matches the Rfam family "Bacterial small subunit ribosomal RNA", at positions 29 to 507 of the family's 1533-position model. The record is from RNAcentral.